This 480-nucleotide ribosomal RNA is filed under the name Bacillus sp. (in: firmicutes). Its description in RNAcentral is "bacterial SSU rRNA". It matches the Rfam family "Bacterial small subunit ribosomal RNA", at positions 770 to 1248 of the family's 1533-position model. The record is from RNAcentral. Lineage: Bacteria; Bacillati; Bacillota; Bacilli; Caryophanales; Bacillaceae.
AAACAGGAUUAGAUACCCUGGUAGUCCACGCCGUAAACGAUGAGUGCUAAGUGUUAGGGGGUUUCCGCCCCUUAGUGCUGCAGCUAACGCAUUAAGCACUCCGCCUGGGGAGUACGGUCGCAAGACUGAAACUCAAAGGAAUUGACGGGGGCCCGCACAAGCGGUGGAGCAUGUGGUUUAAUUCGAAGCAACGCGAAGAACCUUACCAGGUCUUGACAUCCUCUGACAACCCUAGAGAUAGGGCUUUCCCCUUCGGGGGACAGAGUGACAGGUGGUGCAUGGUUGUCGUCAGCUCGUGUCGUGAGAUGUUGGGUUAAGUCCCGCAACGAGCGCAACCCUUGAUCUUAGUUGCCAGCAUUCAGUUGGGCACUCUAAGAUGACUGCCGGUGACAAACCGGAGGAAGGUGGGGAUGACGUCAAAUCAUCAUGCCCCUUAUGACCUGGGCUACACACGUGCUACAAUGGACGGUACAAAGGGCA